RNAcentral lists this ribosomal RNA (879 nucleotides) under Russula drimeia. RNAcentral's name for it is "eukaryotic LSU rRNA". It matches the Rfam family "Eukaryotic large subunit ribosomal RNA", at positions 74 to 931 of the family's 3401-position model. The record is from RNAcentral. Lineage: Eukaryota; Fungi; Basidiomycota; Agaricomycetes; Russulales; Russulaceae.
AUUCCCCUAGUAACUGCGAGUGAAGCGGGAAAAGCUCAAAUUUAAAAUCUGGUGGCCUUUGGCCAUCCGAGUUGUAAUUUAGAGAAGCGUCUUCCGCGCUGGACCGUGCACAAGUCUCCUGGAAUGGAGCGUCAUAGAGGGUGAGAAUCCCGUCUUUGGCACGGACGCACCAGGGCUUUUGUGAUGCGCUCUCGAAGAGUCGAGUUGUUUGGGAAUGCAGCUCAAAAUGGGUGGUGAACUCCAUCUAAAGCUAAAUAUUGGCGAGAGACCGAUAGCGAACAAGUACCGUGAGGGAAAGAUGAAAAGCACUUUGGAAAGAGAGUGAAACAGUACGUGAAAUUGUUGAAAGGGAAACGCUUGAAGUCAGUCGCGUCGCCCGAGACUCAGCCUCGCCUCGGCUUGGUGUACUUCUCGGCCGACGGGUCAGCAUCAAUUUUGCCCCUCGGAUAAUGGCGAGGGAAAUGUGACACCUUUACGGGUGUGUUAUAGUCUUUCGUCGCAUGCGAGGGUCGGGAUUGAGGAACUCAGCACGCGCCUUCGGGCGUCGGGGUUCGCCCACGAUACGUGCUUAUGAUGUUGGCGUAAUGGCUUUAAACGACCCGUCUUGAAACACGGACCAAGGAGUCUAACAUGCCCGCGAGUGUUCGGGUGGAAAACCCGUGCGCGCAAUGAAAGUAAAAGUUGGGACCUCUGUCGUGGAGGGCACCAACGCCCGGACCAGACCUUCUGUGACGGAUCUGCGGUAGAGCGUGUAUGUUAGGACCCGAAAGAUGGUGAACUAUGCCUGAAUAGGGUGAAGCCAGAGGAAACUCUGGUGGAGGCUCGUAGCGAUUCUGACGUGCAAAUCGAUCGUCAAAUUUGGGUAUAGGGGCGAAAGAC